This 489-nucleotide long non-coding RNA is filed under the name Elaeis guineensis (African oil palm). RNAcentral describes it as "long non-coding RNA (EGUI_LNC055274)". Lineage: Eukaryota; Viridiplantae; Streptophyta; Magnoliopsida; Arecales; Arecaceae. The record is from RNAcentral.
CAUAAAGGAAAACCAGACCUCUAUUAGUACAUAAAUUAUAAAUACUAAAGACUUGAACUUUAGUCUAAAGUUUCUCCUAGUAUUUUUACGAACUGGUAGCCUCAACCUCCAAUUUGAGGAAUUACUUUAAUUCCUUAGUGGGUACUAGAAUCCACACAGACUACACACGAGCCCAACUUUGGUUGGUCAACCCAUGUGCAUCUAUGGGUAGGUUCAUAACCAGUUGUUUCUCUAAACAACUUCUAGUAAUUGAUUUUGCCCCAAAACCUAAUCAGUAGGCUUUGGCCUCCACUGAAAAGAUCUGGUUAGGUCUAACCAUUAACAUGAUUUGAUUUGGUGAAUCGGACUAAUAAAUGAUCAGGCCCGACUUUGGCCGGCCAACCUGACCACCAUCAGAAAGACUCAAACCAAAUUAUCAUAUUAUGAAUGAUAAUUCCAUUAGUCAAUAAGCACCAGGCCUUUGGGCCUCCAAUGAUUAUUAAACUAAUG